GAUGAACGCUGGCGGCGUGCCUAAUACAUGCAAGUCGAGCGAACAGGCGAGGAGCUUGCUCCUCUGACGUUAGCGGCGGACGGGUGAGUAACACGUGGAUAACCUACCUAUCAGACGGGGAUAACUUCGGGAAACGGGAGCUAAUACCGCAUAAUAUAUUGAACCGCAUGGUUCAAUGGUGAAAGACGGUGUUAGUGUCACUUAUAGAUGGAUCCGCGCCGCAUUAGCUAGUUGGUAAGGUAACGGCUUACCAAGGCCACGAUGCGUAGCCGACCUGAGAGGGUGAUCGGCCACACUGGAACUGAGACACGGUCCAGACUCCUACGGGAGGCAGCAGUAGGGAAUCUUCCGCAAUGGGCGAAAGCCUGACGGAGCAACGCCGCGUGAGUGAUGAAGGUCUUCGGAUCGUAAAACUCUGUUAUUAGGGAAGAACAAAUGCGUAAGUAACUGUGAGCGUCUUGACGGUACCUAACCAGAAAGCCACGGCUAACUACGUG
This 497-nucleotide ribosomal RNA is filed under the name uncultured bacterium. Its description in RNAcentral is "partial 16S ribosomal RNA". It matches the Rfam family "Bacterial small subunit ribosomal RNA", at positions 28 to 507 of the family's 1533-position model. The record is from RNAcentral.